GCCUACACAUGCAAGUCGAGGGGCAGCAUAAAAUAAGCUUGCUUAUUUGGUGGCGACCGGCGCACGGGUGCGUAACGCGUAUGCAACCUACCCUUUACUGGGGGAUAGCCCGGAGAAAUUCGGAUUAAUACCCCAUAGUAUUAUAGAAUCGCAUGGUUUUAUAAUUAAAGAUUACGGUAAAGGAUGGGCAUGCGUCCUAUUAGCUAGAUGGAGAGGUAACGGCUCACCAUGGCAACGAUAGGUAGGGGGCCUGAGAGGGUGGUCCCCCACACUGGUACUGAGACACGGACCAGACUCCUACGGGAGGCAGCAGUGAGGAAUAUUGGUCAAUGGGCGGAAGCCUGAACCAGCCAUGCCGCGUGCAGGAAGAAUGUCUUAUGGAUUGUAAACUGCUUUUAUUUGGGAAUAAACCUUUCGACGUGUCGAAAGCUGAAGGUACCAAAUGAAUAAGCACCGGCUAACUCCGUGCCAGCAGCCGCGGUAAUACGGAGGGUGCAAGCGUUAUCCGGAAUCAUUGGGUUUAAAGGGUCCGCAGGCGGGCAUAUAAGUCAGUGGUGAAAGCCUACAGCUUAACUGUAGAACUGCCAUUGAUACUGUAUGUCUUGAAUUCGAUCGAAGUGGGCGGAAUGUGUAGUGUAGCGGUGAAAUGCAUAGAUAUUACACAGAACACCGAUAGCGAAGGCAGCUCACUAGGUCUGAAUUGACGCUCAUGGACGAAAGCGUGGGGGAGCAAACAGGAUUAGAUACCCUGGUAGUCCACGCCGUAAACUAUGAU
RNAcentral lists this ribosomal RNA (775 nucleotides) under uncultured Flavobacteriales bacterium. RNAcentral describes it as "bacterial SSU rRNA". It matches the Rfam family "Bacterial small subunit ribosomal RNA", at positions 46 to 813 of the family's 1533-position model. The record is from RNAcentral. Lineage: Bacteria; Pseudomonadati; Bacteroidota; Flavobacteriia; Flavobacteriales.